AACGCUAGCUACAGGCUUAACACAUGCAAGUCGAGGGGAAACGACAUCGAAAGCUUGCUUUUGGUGGGCGUCGACCGGCGCACGGGUGAGUAACGCGUAUCCAACCUGCCCACCACUUGGGGAUAACCUUGCGAAAGUAAGCCUAAUACCUGAUAUCCUCUUUAGCAGGCAUCUAAAGAAGAGGAAAGAUUUAUCGGCGAUGGAUGGGGAUGCGUCCGAUUAGCUUGCCGGUGGGGUAAAGGCCCACCGGGGCGACGAUCGGUAGGGGUUCUGAGAGGAAGGUCCCCCACAUUGGAACUGAGACACGGUCCAAACUCCUACGGGAGGCAGCAGUGAGGAAUAUUGGUCAAUGGGCGAGAGCCUGAACCAGCCAAGUAGCGUGCAGGACGACGGCCCUAUGGGUUGUAAACUGCUUUUAUACGGGAAUAAAGUGAUGCCUGCGGGCGUUAUUGCAUGUACCGUACGAAUAAGGACCGGCUAAUUCCGUGCCAGCAGCCGCGGUAAUACGGAAGGUCCGGGCGUUAUCCGGAUUUAUUGGGUUUAAAGGGAGCGUAGGCUGUCCUUUAAGCGUGUUGUGAAAUGUAGGCGCUCAACGCCUGCACUGCAGCGCGAACUGAAGGACUUGAGUGUGCACGACGCUCGCGGAAUUCGUGGUGUAGCGGUGAAAUGCUUAGAUAUCACGAAGAACUCCGAUUG
This 696-nucleotide ribosomal RNA is filed under the name uncultured Bacteroidales bacterium. Its description in RNAcentral is "bacterial SSU rRNA". It matches the Rfam family "Bacterial small subunit ribosomal RNA", at positions 32 to 715 of the family's 1533-position model. The record is from RNAcentral. Lineage: Bacteria; Pseudomonadati; Bacteroidota; Bacteroidia; Bacteroidales.